Long non-coding RNA from Bacillus rossius redtenbacheri, 1688 nucleotides. RefSeq lists it as uncharacterized. The transcript has 4 exons. Lineage: Eukaryota; Metazoa; Arthropoda; Insecta; Phasmatodea; Bacillidae. The record is from RefSeq and is a predicted model, not a curated record.
CGCCGCGCCGCUCCGUGUUUUUCACCCGGCCUUUAAGUUCGCGGCCUCCGGCGCCGGCAAGUGCGCCACCUCUGCGGGGUGUCACGGUAACCUCUGUUCCUCUUCCGGCGACGCCUAUUCUCACGCGCAGCUCGAGUCUCAGUUAUCAAACAGGACACCCGAGGUAGCCCGCCUGGUCUUCAGCAGUUGGUACGCGCAUUGAUACGCGCCCGUGACAGUUGAGCUAAUCGAUAUCUUCAUAGACGUGACCCCGAACUCAGAAUAAAAGAAGCAAAUAUGUAUAGAGAGAAAGUCGCUCAACUUGGCAGCGCGCCCGCCCCUGAGAGUGGUCUGAUGUCCGCAGAGCUACGAGGAAACAACGGACAAGCAGCAGCAGCCAACAUUGACCUCGGACACACGGACCCAGUGGCGUAGGGCAGGAUGAAAAUAUCGAACGUCGAGAUCCUCAACAAUACGUCAACCAGACAACACGUGGAGGUCCCGGUAUCUUCAACAGAUAAUGCAAGGUGUCCCGUUGCGCAGUGGAAUCUUGGAAAUCAGUUUUGUCAAGAAUCUUCUCACGUCCCUUCGUUGUCACCUCCAUAACUGAAUGAAGAUAUACAUAAAUAUAACCGCAGUAAAUAUGUACAUACGCCCAAGGGCUCAAAACAGAAUGUGACAGAGGAAGGGGAAGACAUUUUCGGGUAUUAGAGGUGGAAUGGUUCACGUAGUAGUAACAAAAAAAAACUGGAUUUACUAAAAACAAAUUUUGAAUGAUACGUUUUAAAGAUAAAUUUAAAAAUUUCCUUAACUACAGGGACUUCAUCCUUGUUUUAUUUAUUUUUACACUUUGGAAGGGGACAGAUUCCCCUCUCCCCAGGGCCGGAUUUACAGGUCUGGAGGCCUCGGGGCAACAGAGGAGCGGAGGCCCCCUGGCCACAAAUUAUUUUCCAAUAAAAUGAAUAAUUUUUUUCAAUCAAGUUUUCCAAUAAAUAAUUUAUAGUGACAUCAAGUAGAUUCUCUAAGUAUUAAAUAAAACAUACAUAAUAUAAUCGGAGACAAGAAUUAUAUGAAAUUAAAUUUUAGUGUUAAUUAAUAUUUCUGUUAAUAUUUAACAAUAAUAUAAUCAUGUAUGUACAAAAUACUGUAGGUAAAGGUAAAACAGCGAAAAAAGAAUAUCAAAGGAUUUGUGGGGGCCCUCCGUUUGUGGAGGCCCCUGGGCUUUCGCCCCGGUUGCCCUCCCCUAAAUCCGGCCCUGCCCUCCCCCCAGCACCACCCUGGAUACGUCAAUAUGGAUAGGCGUGAUGUCACGAAUUUCAUUUUUUUUUUUUUUUAGGUCCAGCACCCGUUAAUUUUGAGAGUUUUUUUUUUAAACAGUUCACUAUAUUAUUGUAGUGGUUCUUUUUUCCUUAAGUGUUUUUUUCAGGAAUGAAUAUAGAAUUUUUCUGGACUAAAAUAAUCUUUAGCAAACAGGGCUUAUUAUUAGGUAGUUUAUUUUACGUCACGUAGCAUGGACGUAUGCGCGGUGGAUACACGCACAUGUUUCACAUGACGGAGGCAUGUAUGAAAGGAGAGCGGAGUGAUCGGUGCGUGCUGGAAGAAAGUAGGUCUUGGACUUGUUUUCCAUCAUCUUGACCUUUGGUGUCUUGCUGUAUACCGAUAUUGUAUCCCAGGAUCUGGCCACUAAAAUAUAACGAUAUCAGAUUUUU